AAUGUGUGUGUGCGUCACAAUUACUAAAAUAGAACAGCAACACACAUUGCUAGCCUGUUUGGCAUUCCUUUCGCUUUCUUUUACAGCUACCUUUCAAUCGUGUUGUAACAAGUUGUAAUACCGAGUCAACAUAUUGUAGUGCAGCUGCAUGGACCGUGAUAAUUCUCUGGGUGGAGAGAGGAGGAGCACAGAGAGAUGCAUGUUCUAACAAGAGAAUGGAAAUGAAAUAAAGCCGUACCAUCAUGCUAGCAUGAUGCUCCAGAGAUCUCAUGGUUGCUACUGGAAUAAUGAGCUAAGAGCGUCUCUCAUAUCUCCCACUGGUCCAUUUAUUUCAGGCACAAGAUCCGCUCUCAGAGUGUUAACAUGUUGAGCCAGGCCAAGCUGCACCCGAGAUGGACCAUCUCUUGAGUCGAGCCAAAAGCAUGCCAGACCACCCUAAAGCAGGUAGCGGUAAUGUCUCGACAACUGCAGCCAACCCUUGACAACUCCCUUCUCCACCUAAAACAUGCUGUGUGUUGUAAGACUCAACUCAUGUCUGUGCAGACCAGAGAGAAAGGCACACUUCAAAGUCUCUGUGUGUUCAGUUCUCUGUACUUUUGUAGCUUCUAAUUGAACCACUGUGGUUUGGAGUUUAGUUUCUCUCCUGCGUCCAUGUUUGUGCUUCAGAUAUUUGCUUUAUUUUACAGUUUCAUGUUCCCUCUCAGUCUGGAGUCAUGUUAAGUUACUGCUGAUGAAAACUCAACAUUUCCUUAUUUUCCUGCUUCAGUAAAACAAAACUUUUAUUACUUUUAUUGUGAAGAAAUCUAUAGGAAAUUAAAUAUCUAUCACCGAUUUAGCAGAACUUUGUUAACUGCUUCAAUAAAAAAACAAGUCUACCACAGGGAGGAAGACUUGGUCCGCUUAGCGUUUCCACCGCAAACAGCAAUCUUAAAUUUGGGCGGGGUUAUUGUCACUCACUGCUCCAUACAGCACUCACUGUAUGUCCUGGCUCUUCACCGGUGACCGGUACUGUCCACAGAACAGGAUUACACGUUGACAUUUGAACAAAAAACAGGCUGCAGUGAGAGUCUCUCUGGAUGGGAUAUUUAAAAAUAGUGCAUUUUUGUGCAUUUAGUCCUUCUAAGGCAAGCUCGGGGGAUUAGUGUUGCUGGAGCCCACAGGAACGACGCUCCUCAAUGCUUUUUUUUUUCCUCAGAGUGAGGAUUACAAUAUAUGCAGUUCACAUAAUCCACACAAAUUUAAUAUAUAUAUAAACGCUUGAACAUCCACUCAUUACUAGAAGUGUCUGUCAUAUAAAAAGUAAUGGUCAAAGUUGUCACAGUGAUGUUUAAGGUGUGCUGAUGGAUUCACGUCAUCAACUCAUAUACACUGAGUAACAUUACAAGUUAGUGAAUUAAGUUAUUUUUUCUCUGACUCCAGCUGCUGCGAGAGGCAGCAAAACAUCCUUUCAUUUUAUAGUUACAUACUAAUAAAACUCUCCACGGUAUGACCAGUGGUUACAUGAGCCUCAAAACUAGCCACAACUCAGCCCUGAGCAGAGUGACCGUCCGCUACUGACCAAUCAACGGACAGCAGUGUUCACAGCUCCACCUGUUAGUACCAGAUCUGUGUGCUAGGGACCCUAACAGAGGGGGGACCAAAAAUGGUUAUGGUACAGAAUAGUUCCAUUGGUACCAUCCACCACUUUUCACAGUGGAAAUGGGAAAAAAAGCGUUUCAAACUGAACUGUACUGCUUGCUGGAAACGGAGCUUUUCUGCACCUCUGCAAACAAAUUACUUCCAACAGGUAAUCACAUUUUAACUGCCGUACUGUGUGAUGGGAAAACACUUGCAGCAAAAUAACAGGGGACUCUAGCUAUGGAUCAUCCUGCUGGUUAUAAACUUAAUUGAUUCAAGACAAGACCAAUAUCAGUAAAAGACACACCUUCAAGCAGGUUGCCUUGUUGUAAUGCGCUGGGCUGACAUGUCGAGUCAAACAAAGUUAAGCUAAGCCAGCGUGUGUAAAACAGAGACAGAA
Epinephelus moara (kelp grouper) is the source of this 2017-nucleotide long non-coding RNA. RefSeq lists it as uncharacterized. NCBI's taxonomy places the organism in Eukaryota, Metazoa, Chordata, Actinopteri, Perciformes, Serranidae. The record is from RefSeq and is a predicted model, not a curated record. The transcript is spliced from 3 exons.